AAAGAAAAUAGUUCAGCACUAAGUCACUUUGUCUUUAUGGCAAAUGUGAGAUGCAGUGUAUGGAGCAUCAAUAUUCUAGUAUGAGAAAUUAAUGAUUUAAGUCCUUCUUAAAUGAGGCCAUUUACCCAUAGAGGGUGCCAGGCCCGUAUAACGUUAAUGAUUACUAGAUGGUGUUUCCAAAGAGUCGUGUUGCUUGAUAGUGCAGCACUAAGUGGGUGGUAAACUCCAUCUAAAACUAAAUAUAACCAUGAGACCGAUAGUAAACAAGUACCGUGAGGGAAAGUUGAAAAGAACUCUGAAUAGAGAGUUAAAUAGUACGUGAAACUGCUUAGAGGUUAAGCCCGAUGAACCUGAAUAUCCAUUAUGGAAAAUUCAUCAUUAGAGUUUUAAUAUUUUAAUAAUAUUAUAAUAAUAGUGUGCAUUUUUUCCAUAUAAGGACAUUGUAAUCUAUUAACAUAAACCAAAUUUAUCAUAAAAUAUGACUUAUAGUUUAUUUAAAUUAUUUUGCUUGCAUUUUAACAUAGAAUAAAUGUCAUUAAUUUGAUAAAGUGUUGAUAGAUUUAUAUGAAUACAGUGCGUUAAUUUUUCGGAAUUAUAUAAUAGCAUGAUUAUCAUUGAUUUUCUGUGUUUAUUAUAUGCACUUGUAUGAUUAA
Molecule: ribosomal RNA, 653 nt
Filed under: Drosophila willistoni
Lineage: Eukaryota; Metazoa; Arthropoda; Insecta; Diptera; Drosophilidae
Description: eukaryotic LSU rRNA
Rfam family: Eukaryotic large subunit ribosomal RNA
Source: RNAcentral